This 460-nucleotide ribosomal RNA is filed under the name uncultured bacterium. RNAcentral describes it as "partial 16S ribosomal RNA". It matches the Rfam family "Bacterial small subunit ribosomal RNA", at positions 338 to 795 of the family's 1533-position model. The record is from RNAcentral.
CCUACGUGGCGCAGCAGUGAGGAAUAUUGGUCAAUGGGCUUACGCCUGAACCAGCCAAGUCGCGUGAGGGAAGACUGCCCUAUGGGUUGUAAACCUCUUUUGUCAGGGAGCAACGCCGGCUACGUGUAGCCGGACUGAGAGUACCUGAAGAAAAAGCAUCGGCUAACUCCGUGCCAGCAGCCGCGGUAAUCCGGAGGAUGCGAGCGUUAUCCGGAUUUAUUGGGUUUAAAGGGUGCGUAGGCGGAAUGCAAAGUCCGCGGUAAAAACGCGGGGCUCAACCUCGCUCCGCCGUUGAAACUGGUCUUCGUGAGUAAGCGAGAAGUAUGCGGAAUGCGUGGUGUAGCGGUGAAAUGCAUAGAUAUCACGCAGAACUCCGAUUGCGAAGGCAGCAUACCGGCGCUCAACUGACGCUGAGGCACGAAAGCGUGGGGAUCGACCAGGAUUAGAUACCCCUGUAGUC